AAGACUAUACUUUCAGGGGUCAUUUCUAUAGUUUGUUACAAUGUGCAAGUAUCAUGUUUGAAUCCACAGUCCCCACCUUCAGGGGGA
Molecule: small nucleolar RNA, 87 nt
Filed under: Erinaceus europaeus (western European hedgehog)
Lineage: Eukaryota; Metazoa; Chordata; Mammalia; Eulipotyphla; Erinaceidae
Description: Small nucleolar RNA U3
Rfam family: Small nucleolar RNA U3 (bases 1-41)
Source: Rfam by way of RNAcentral